This 59-nucleotide microRNA precursor is filed under the name Sphenodon punctatus (tuatara). RNAcentral describes it as "Spt-Mir-193-P1b_pre stem-loop". It matches the Rfam family "mir-193 microRNA precursor family", at positions 10 to 68 of the family's 76-position model. The record is from RNAcentral. Lineage: Eukaryota; Metazoa; Chordata; Lepidosauria; Sphenodontia; Sphenodontidae.
UGGGUCUUUGCGGGCGAGAUGAGAAGCUAGUGUAUUCAACUGGCCUACAAAGUCCCAGU